GGGUACGUUGCUCCUACUAUUGAAAGUAUUUAGUUUUAAUUUGUUGCGUCUUUGUAAUGUAGAGCAAACUGGAGAGUCUGACAGAGGCUGAACAAAAAUAAUUAUUAAUGUCACCAAACGGUGUGUUGCUGCCCCUGAGGCACAUUUUUAUGGAUUUCUAUUGGAUUUUUAUCACUGAUUAAAUAGCAAGAGCACUUUCUAAACUUAUACUUUACAUGUCAGAAUGCAUUGAUAAGGUCCUGUCUCCUCUGUACAGCACCUUUGUGGAGUCUCUCCUCGUUAUUGUUCUCCGGGCAUCGGGUCCUCCCGUUGCACCGGCACAGCCAACGGCACUCCAUUCACCAGAGCAACAUUGUACAAAACUGUACUGGCCCAAAUGAUGUCCCACACCCUUCCAGGAGUGUACAACAACGUCCCCGCUGCUGGGCC
Molecule: non-coding RNA, 429 nt
Organism: Xyrichtys novacula (pearly razorfish)
Lineage: Eukaryota; Metazoa; Chordata; Actinopteri; Labriformes; Labridae
Source: the annotation of a GenBank genome assembly